Molecule: long non-coding RNA, 2642 nt
Organism: Canis lupus familiaris (dog)
Lineage: Eukaryota; Metazoa; Chordata; Mammalia; Carnivora; Canidae
Exons: 3
Source: RefSeq, a predicted model, not a curated record
GAGGCUGGCGGAGCAGACCCGCACAGGCAGGCUGGGGGUUCCGGGCCGGCAGUGCGGACCCAAACUUCCCUGCAGCACGGUACCUCGAGGCAAGGAGUUCCCGCCUCUCUGGGUCACCCCACGUAUCUAAGGCCAGGCCGCCUGACGUCAUGCCUCGUAACGUUUUAUGCCAUUAACUGUCAGUGCCCGGAGAGCAGGGGCGACGCGCGUCGGGGGGAUCCCCUCCCACCCCAGGCCACGCAAGGCUCGUAAAAGCACCCAGUUAACGUUAACGGCUCAGAAUAAACCCUUGCCAUAGUUGCAGAUAUGCGGUGCCAAUAUCGCGCACAACCCGGGAUUCGUAAGGAGUAAAGAAAUACAGAAACAAAAGUUAGUUAUUCACGGAUUCAACACAUUUACUGAGCACCUAGACAGGUGGUAUUACCUGCCACUGGGCACUGGGCUCGACAGACAUCGGAGGUCCAAUGGCCAAAAAGAGUUGUCUGUCUUCUCCCAAAGCCUUUGUUUCCCCUCUGAGAAGCGAGAGGGCAGUACAAGGCAAUUACAGUGCUCUGGAAAUGUUAUGGUCCCGCACAUCCUUUAUGUUGCCAGAUACGAGCCUAUACAAAUCAAUUAACAAAAUGUAUAUAUUGCAACAGUGUCUAAACAGCAUCCUAUAAUUAAUAACUGUUGUUUGGGGUGCUCAACAAAGCCAUAAAAUCCAUUAACAGCCCUCCUGCUGCUCAGGCUUCCAGCACCGCCCUGGCAGCUCACCCAGCAGUUCUGAAGGCCAGUUCUUCUGCAUCUCCCUGCUCGGGCUGGCAGGGGAGAGAGGGGCGGCACCCCCCCCCCCACCCCAGCAGUGAAGCACGGCGGCUGCAGACAGGCUCAGACCAAGCAGGGCACUUCACUGCAGGUCUCUUUAACCUGCACAACCACCACUCCGCGCUAUUAUUAUUUUCAUUUCACACAUAAGGAAAUAGAGGCUCCGGCACCAACCUGGCUGAGGGGAUGAAAGUAAGUUCAGCCCUGGAAAUACUCCGGCCUCAAGAACUUCAAGUCCACGUCAACUGUGUGGAGUACUGCUGUGCCCGGUGCUUCUUCUGGACCACUGCAGAUGCAGAGAGCGGGCAAAGCAACCCAACAGUUAAUGCAUCACAUGGUGCCAGGCUUUGCAGUGGAGGGUUGACAUUCCAUACUUCCCUUAAUCCUUGCAACAGCAGGCAAAAUGUGGACCCGUGGACACACGUGGAGCCAUGCCAGCUCAAGCCUCACCAGCACCUUUGCCAACACCGCCAAGGAAAGCAUCAGCCCACAGGCACUGCCGGAGCAGUUCAGAUAUGCUGUGAAUACCUACACCUAGCUUUGUUCCACCAAAGGGGAUAGGAAAGAAUCUACUACUUAUUGAGCACCUACUAUGAGCCAGCCAUUAUAUACAUCACCUCAUUUAGUCAUCCCACAGCUCUGGAAGGUGAUUUAUUACUCCCAUCAGACACUCAUGGAAAUUAAGGCUCAAAGAGAUUAAGUUAUACUGUGCAUUAAUCAGUGCUCACCAAAGAAGUGGAACCAAUGGGAGAGAGACAGAGAGACAGAUAUAUAGAUACAAAUAUCUUUAUAUCUAUAUCUGAUAUAAAAAUGAUUGAUAAUAAAUAUGAAGAGAAAGAGAUUGACUUAUUAUAAGGCUCAUGCAAUUACAGGGGCUAUAAUUAUGGGAUCCUAGACCAAGAUCUAGGUCCUUGACCCCCAGGAGAGUCAAUGGUAUACUUCUAGUCCUAGUCUGAGAGCCUGGGGACCAGGAGAACCAAUGGUGUAGUUUCAGUCCAAAGACAGACAACCUUGAAAUCCGGGAAGAGCCAAAAUUUUAGUUCAAGUCCAAAAGUAGGAAAAACAAAAAACAGCAUCCCGGUUGAAAGGCAAGAGGAACCCUCUCUUACUCUGGAAGGGUCAGCCUUUUUGUUUUAUUCAGGCCUUCAACUGAUUGGAAGAGGGCCACCCCCGUUAGGGAAGGCCAUCUGCCUUAUUCAGUCUACUGAUUCAAACGUUAAUCUCAUCCAGAAACACCCUCAGAGGAACACACCCAGAAUACCCCAUGGCCCAGACAAGUUGACACAUAAAAUUAACCAUCACAUACUGCUACAAAUGAAGGAACUGGGAUUUAAACGGAGGUCUGUCUGCUUCUGAAGUUAUACUUUUUUGCAGCCAAAUGAGACAAUCUGUCCAGCUGCCAUCAUGACUUUAGGUGCCAGGUUUGGAUGGAGACCAAGGUGGGUUGCCCUGAGUCACCCCAAUCAUAACACCAGUGCAAGUUUUACCCAGCAGCCUUUGUCUUUCAGUAAGCUUUCACAGUUUCUCAGGAUGGAAUCCUGUCACCCUGCUGCAUGAAUUGUCACUGGCAGGUCUUCCCCAGAACGUUCCUUCCUACUUCUUUCCUUUCUGUAUCUAAGGGCCGGACUUGAGGCCCCUGCCCCAAGCUUUCAGCUGUUUCCACCCUCUUCUACCUGGUGUUCACACAAUUAGCUGCUUCAUCCCUUCUCCACUAUUAGGUACCCUCCAAGGGUCCACAAGACCUAUAGCAGAAGGAGGAUGCCUGAGUGGCUCAGCGGUUGAGCACCUGUCUUUGGCCCAGGGUGUGAUUCCUGGGAUCAAGUCCCACAUCGGACUCC